Long non-coding RNA from Rosa rugosa (rugosa rose), 7249 nucleotides. RefSeq lists it as uncharacterized. The record is from RefSeq and is a predicted model, not a curated record. NCBI's taxonomy places the organism in Eukaryota, Viridiplantae, Streptophyta, Magnoliopsida, Rosales, Rosaceae. The transcript is spliced from 3 exons.
UUUCCUUGGAUAUAUUUUUCUGCUCCAAUAGAUCAUCAUCACUUCCAUACUUCUGCACAUUCAUGCCUUGCUUUCAUUUCAUCAUUACUCCAUCUUUUCCAUAUUUUACAAACCACUAUCAUUAUUUUUCUUCCAUUUAUCAUUUCACUCUUCUUUUUCUUCCCUAUAUAAACACCUUCUCCUCUCACUCUAAAUACAUUCCUUCAUCCAUUUCAUCUUCUUUGUCUCUCCAUUUCCAUUCCAUUUUUCUCUCCAUUCUCUAGUUGCAAAAUUCUGCGUUUUCAAGUAAGAAGAAGAAGAAGAAGAAGGAGCCGGGAAUAUCAUAUCCUCCAUCGUCCACCUUGAAGGCUUGCUUCCAAGAUUCAAGAUUUCAACGUUUCAAGCACUCCAUCUCCAUCUCCAACUCACGGUGUGUACCCUCAAUCCCCGGAAUAGAACGAUCCCUAUUUGCUUAUACUACUAACGAUGUUUUCAGGGUUAAAUUAUGCGCUUGCUUUGAGCGUAUCAAUUUUUGGCGCCGUUGCCGGGGAUUGAAAAAUCACUUGUUUUUGUUUAUAAUUGUUGUAUAUAAACUGUUUGAUACUUAGUUUAAAUUAACUAGGUUGUUUUUUUUAUUGUUGAAUACGAGUUUAAUUGUGAGUUGUAAAUUAAAGAAGGAAUAGGUGAAGUCGUGUUUAUUAAUAUUGGCCUAAACCCCUUAUUGGUACCUAGUUCAGGUCCCUUAAGGUUGAGGGCGGCCUUUAUUAACAUUCAUUGAACUGUCUAACACACUUAGGACCUUUUACAUCCUAGUAAGAAUAUCCUAUGUGAGAUGGUGUCUAGGAAGGGGACAACGUUCAUGACGGGUUUUUGAAUCCAGAAGUGCUUAUAAAUGGGCUUAGCUCAUGCCAAAAUGGAUUUUUCCUCUCGUGUUCACCCUCCCCUACCUGGCCAUUUCAGUAAGGUUGCCCAACGGAUGUAGGAGGGACUUUGUGUCUAGACGACUAUACUUGGGCCGCACGUCCACUUGAUUUACCGCUUGGAAUUAGAUUUGAUAUCAAUAAUGUUUAUAACAAAAGAAAUACUUGUGAAUACUCUUUACGUGUAAAUUAUUUUGUUGUUUCACACUUUAUACUUGUAAAAAUACUUUUUACGUUUUAUACUCACUUGUGUACUUAACUUGUGUCUUAUGUACAAAAUACUUGUUAAUUAUACUUGUAGUUUGUAAUUCAUAGUUACUUGUUUAUUUUUUUUGUAUUUCUUUGUUAAUAUUAAGUUACUAACUUUAUUUAAUGUAGGUACCGUCUGGCUGCAAGACGUAAAAUACAAGCGCUGCUUGGGAGGCAACCCAAUUCAGAAUAUAAUCAGAUUUGCUUUCUCUUCCCCUUUUACUCCUCCAUUUUCUUUUUGUUUUAGUAGUUAUUUUCGUAAAUUCCAUCCCUAUAUGCUUACUUAUUUCAUUGCAUGCUUUUAAUUGAUUACAUUGAGGAUAAUGCAAUAUUUAAGUGUGGGGGAAGGGAUUUAUAUUUUUGUCUUUCAUUUUGAAUCCUAUAAAUAUUUUUGUCUUUCAUUUUGUGUCCUAUAAAUAUUUUUGAGUCCUAUAUUUUUUAAUAAUAAUAAAAAAAAAUAAAAAUAAAAUAAAAAUAAAAAUAAAAUAAAAUGCAUUCAUUCAGUCUUAUUAAAUUCAGCUUUUUACAAAAAAAAAAAUAAUAAUAAUAAUAAAAAAAAAAAUUUUAAAAAAAAAUAAUAAUAAUAAAAAAAAAAAAUAAAAAAAAAAUGCAUUCAUUCAGUCUUAUUAAUUUCAGCUAUUUACAAAAAAAAAAAAAAAAAAAAAAUAAUAAUAAUAAUAAUAAAAAAAAAAAAAAAAAAAUAAUAAUAAUAAUAAUAAUACUCUAUACUAAGCCAUGUCUGCAUCUCUGUAGGAGUUGAGGCUGAGCUCAAGGGAAAUGUGAGAGCCACCGCCAUAACCGCUACCUCCCUCGGAAGUAGUCUUCAUGAUGCCCAAGAUGUCCUCACCAUGCAUGGGGAACAAUGGAAGGGUUUCAAUCUCCUGGUGAUCUCCUCCUCGUUGUUGCAGGGAUGUUUGUCCUCCUGUUGUGCCAAAAGAGUUGUACUGGUAUUAGUGUUGAAGUGUGAGGAAGAAUAUGAAACAAAAUUUAAAUCAAGAAAUCCUUCAUUACCAGUAGAAUCGGUGGAACCAAAGUUGAGAUUAAUGGAUCUACCAUCAUCAGUAGAACUAGUGGACCCAAAAUUGAUGUCAAUGGAUCCACCAGCUGGCCCAAAAUUGAUGUCGAUGGAUCCACCAGCACCAGUAGAACCAGUGGACCCAAAAUUGAGAUCAAUGGAUCCACCAGUACCAGGAGAACUAGUUCUCAUGGGCACUUGAGCAGCCUGAUUGCACCUCUUCAUCUGCUUCUCUCGAGCCCUGACAUUCUGGAACCAAAAAUAAAUGUUCUUGCCCUCAACAUGUCCAUACUGGUUCAGCUGGAGACAGAUCUCGUGAAUAUGCUCUGUAGUUGGGCGCUUAACUCCCUUGUCGUAGUAAAGAUCCUUGAGGAUCCUUAUUUGAUCUGGAGUAGGAACCCACCUGGCACGGCUUCGCCAGAAAUCUGUGUUGGCACUACUCCCGGCUGCUUGGUUGUUUCCUCCAUCCUCGAUUUGUUGCUGGGUUUGUAGCUCCAUCAGUUGCAGAGUUCGUGGUUCCAUGGUGAUGGGUUGAGGGGAUGUGAAGAUCGAAGAGUAAAGUUGUCAAGUGUUUGAAGGAGUUGUUGUUAAAGGGAUUAAGGAUGAUGAUGGUGUGUUGGAGAUCUGAAAGUUCAGAGGAAAGAUGGGAUUGAAUCAACUAGAUGGGAGAGAAGAUCAGAAGAGAAGGAUUGAAUCGAAGAAGAAAUAUUUUGAGUUUUGAAAGAAGAGGAAAAGCUGAAGAGUUGGGAGAGAGGGGCUGGAACUCAGGAGAGAUUUUCGUUCCUUUGGAGUGAACAGUUGCGCCCUCAGAAUGCACCUAUUUAUAGAGCGAGGUGAGCAGAUCUCCACCGUUGGAUGGACGAUUCCUGUGAUUCAUUCUACGCGUUGGAUUAAAGUCGCCCUGAAACCCGGAAAAGUUGUUGGCGCGUGGAGAGCGUGUAAGGGGACCGAGGGAAUCUCGAGGCGCUGUGGCGGACAGCUGUAGCCGAAAGCAGAUUUGACUGCCGUAAAUCACGGAAGGGAUAAGCCGUGACACAAGUGGGCCGUACUUGGGCCUGUCUCGGAUCAAGGCAUCACUGUAGCUGUGGGUGGAGGCCUGAUGGGCCGAGUUUCUGAAACAGUUUUGGAUGAGUUGGGCCGGAUUUCUGUAACAGUUUUGGAUACGUUGGGCCGAGUUUCUGAAACAGUCUUGGAUGUUUUGUGCCGAAUUGUUGAAACAGUUGAAACAGUUGGUUUAAAUAAAAGGAUUGGUAUGGAUAAUAACGUGAGCAGCCGUGCUCGAGUGGUUGAGUGUAAAGUUCGUGUACAAGAGGUCUGAGGUUCGAACCUCGCCUCUCGUUUAUUUUUAUUAUGUUCGUUUAUGACAUAAUAAGUAUAAAAUUUGUACACAUUAUAUUAAGCACAGCUUGUGCUCCAGUGGUUGGGGACAAAGGUUUCGUGUAGCAGGUUAAGGUUUCGAACCUUGCCUCCCCCGUUUUUUUUUAUUUAUUUAUGUCACUCCAUCAGAACCCUCCUCCGAAGGCUGAAACCAGCAAGAAGGCUGCCACUCGCCCGCAUACCGCUCAUCCAAAGGAGUAAAUGGAGGUACAAGUCUAGGCUGAAAGACUUUAAACAUUAAGCGCUGCAUGGGAGGCAACCCAUUUCAACCGUAGCUGUGGAGGAGCCAUCAACGCAGAUUUGCUCUCUUAAACUCUAUCUCCUCUAUCUCCUCUAUUACUAUUUUCUGAUUGUAUCUUUGUUAUUUGCGUUUUUAGUUUUUGUUUUUAGGUUUUCUUGAGUUAAUCAUUCCAUUCACAUGAUAAUUGUUCAUUGCAUGCUCUAACUUGUUUAACAUUGAGGACAAUGUAUGAUUUAAGUGUGGGGGGAAGGAUUAAUGCUUGUAGUUAGUUUUUGUCAUAAAAAGAAAACAAAACAAAAAAAUCGAAAAAUGUCAGAAAUAUAAAAAAUUUCGUUGCUUUUGUUUUUGUUUUGAGUCUUAGGAUGCCUUUCAACUGUCUGGGAUGAUUCUAUAUCUCUGAAAUCAUGACUAAAAGAGGAUCACAACAUUGAGAUGAUUUUAAACAUGGUAUUCUUUGGUUAAUUGAGAUAUAUGAAAAAUGUGUGCCUUGUAGUGGAUAUGGAUUGCAUGACCUUGGUACAGAAUAUGAGCAUGUUAAGAUGAGGUGUGAUUCAUAAAGCCAUGUGAGAUAAUUGAACCAUGUCCCUUUUUCUUGGAGUGAAAUGAAAAAUAUAUUCUUAAUUUCUUGGCGAUGUUUUGAUGAUCUCAUUAUUCUUUCAUCUUGAUUGACUGCUUGCCAUAGAUUAAGUUUAAUGGACUAGAGAAUGCUAGAAUUCGCUCUUGUGCUUGUUGAGACGUGAUAUCAAUACAUGGCCCUGAUUCUGGAAGGGAUAGAGGUUCUCUAGGAAUUACCACCAUUGCCAAAUAAACUUGUGUCCCCAUUUGUGCCCGUCGUGGGACCCCCCUAGAUAAGCCCCUUUGAGCCUACUUUGAGCCUUUUCGUUCAUCACCCUUAAAAUCCUUAACCAUGAAGCUUAGUAUAGUUACAACCCUACCCUUUGUUCUAAGGACUUAGUGGAGCUAUCUUUUGAGACAUACUACAUGGGUUUGGUGCUAAGGAUGAAGAUUGAGAAGAGGUGAAAGUUCAAGUGUGGGGAUAGACUUGUCCAUAAAGAAAAAGAUAUGUUGAAGCCGUGAAAAAUGAAAAGAAAAGAGAAAAAUUGUGUACGGCUAAAAAGAAAAAGAAAAAAAAUAUAUAUAUAUGUUUAUGGACUUUCAUCCCCCAUACUUAGUGAUUUUGGAGUUUGCUUUGAAUUGAAGGCCCACUACAGAAAAAUUUGGCCUUUGUCCAUUUCACUAGAGUUCAAGGGAAGUUUAUAUUGAAGAUUGGGCCCAACAUGAAGACAUUUGGCCCUCUUAUAUUACCUCUAUGGGGAAGUGACGUUUUUGCAAUGCCUUGGUGAAAUAUUUCGAGAUCUCUACAUUCAUAUGAGCUCUACUAGGUUUUUAGGACACUUUGAUAAUCCUUACCUUUCAUUUCUUUAAACCUUGAGCCUUAGCCCCAUUACAACCUUUGAGAGGACCUUCUUGAUCCUUAAGAUGGGACAGCCUUUGAUGUGGAGAUGAGUUACAAGAGUUGAACCUAUGGCUUGGGUCCAUUCGUGCAAGUAGUUGAUAUCCUUCAUGAGAUCUUUUGAAAAAAAUUAUAUUCACAAAGUGCUUUUCGUUUCUUAUAUAUGUGAGCUAUUUGACUGCCUUAAAAUAUGUUCUCUCACAUAUAAAUGAGUGAUUAUAAGCUUUUAAGCAUUGCCUUGAUCUGAGAGAAGAAAGAGUGGAUAUACCUUGUGAGGAUAUGAAUCAUACUUGUCUGAAGCAUGCUAAGCUAAACCCCAAUCACCAUUAUUACAACCAAGUCCUACUUGUGUAUGUGUGGAUCAUAUGUUUUAAUUAACUCUCGAAUGCUUAACAUUGAUUCUUGAUUGAGUGCUAAUCUUGGUGUUGUGAAAGUAUGAGAUUUCUGAGACAAUAUGUUAAAGGGCAAUAGAGGUCUUUGUGAUGUCAACAUCUUGGUCUUUGUCUUUGAAUUUACUCUUUUAUGUGUGACGUUUUUUUUUUUCUUUGUGUUUUGCUUUGUGUUUUACGUUUUUGGUUUCUUUGAGUCUUUGUGUUUUUGUUUCCAUACUUAGUCAUUUUUUUCGUUGGUUUCUUUGUUUUGUGUCAUAGUCUUUUUGGUUUGUUAGUUUUUGAUUUUGCUAAGGGACUAGCAAAAGCUAAGUGUGGGGGAAUUUGAUAGGAGCAUUUUAAUGUGGUAUUUUAAUAGUUAAUUCCUCACAUUUUGCUUAGUUAAUUCCUUAACGAAUCGAUUUUUAACUCAAUUUCUAUUUUCUUAGGUACAUUGGAGUAAAUGAUGGUGAAAUGAGCAUUAGGUCCACACUUACCUAUAAAUGGUGGAGAAAAAUGGAAAUGUACUAAAAUGUCAAUUUUACACAUUUUCCUACUCCGGCUAGGAGAAACCAAGCCAAGCAAGGAAGAAGGAGCGGCCGCCGGACCAAAUGAACUUCAAAUGAGCUGAAACUUUCCAGAUCCAUUCUAGACAGCCCAAGGAUCAUUUCUUAUGAAGAGUGCAAGAACUUUUGUUGAGUGGAAGGCCUUCAAACAAUCAGCCCAAUUUUCUACAGAAGCAAAACUGGAAAACUGGACCUGUAAGAGGUCCAGCAGCAUUUUCGGCCCAACCACAUGGAAUAAAAAUCUGAAAUUUUACCAGGGUGAUCUACACUCAUAAUGGAACAUUUUUUAUGAAGAGGUCAUAGUGAAAUUGGGAAUGCUUGUUGGAGAAAUAAUUGAAGGAAUAAAGGGGCAGAAACUGAUCUAAAAAACAGCUCAACAUCACAUGUUCAUGUUUCCUACCCACAUGAAGAAAGCUAGAUGCUUUUCUCUUUUUCCUUGGAUAUAUUUUUCUGCUCCAAUAGAUCAUCAUCACUUCCAUACUUCUGCACAUUCAUGCCUUGCUUUCAUUUCAUCAUUACUCCAUCUUUUCCAUAUUUUACAAACCACUAUCAUUAUUUUUCUUCCAUUUAUCAUUUCACUCUUCUUUUUCUUCCCUAUAUAAACACCUUCUCCUCUCACUCUAAAUACAUUCCUUCAUCCAUUUCAUCUUCUUUGUCUCUCCAUUUCCAUUCCAUUUUUCUCUCCAUUCUCUAGUUGCAAAAUUCUGCGUUUUCAAGUAAGAAGAAGAAGAAGAAGAAGGAGCCGGGAAUAUCAUAUCCUCCAUCGUCCACCUUGAAGGCUUGCUUCCAAGAUUCAAGAUUUCAACGUUUCAAGCACUCCAUCUCCAUCUCCAACUCACGGUGUGUACCCUCAAUCCCCGGAAUAGAACGAUCCCUAUUUGCUUAUACUACUAACGAUGUUUUCAGGGUUAAAUUAUGCGCUUGCUUUGAGCGUAUCAAAGGAGUAUUACACUAUUAAUUAAGUCCAUACACAUGGCCAUUUGAAAAAUAAAUAGAUUGAAGAAAAUACUUGCAAUCGGCCAUAAGAGCAACUCCAACAGCUUCUUCAUAUUUUAAUUUUUCUCUAUUUUAGAGAAAACUG